AUGCAUUUCUGACAGCCGUGGAGCAGUUCCUGUCUGUUGCCAAGAUUUCUACUACAGAUGCAAGAAAAAGAAGUCCUUGCCCUUUCUGUCUGUCUGGUUGUGGCAGCCAAGAUUGAAUGGGGGAAUACAGGA
Molecule: small nucleolar RNA, 132 nt
Filed under: Dasypus novemcinctus (nine-banded armadillo)
Lineage: Eukaryota; Metazoa; Chordata; Mammalia; Cingulata; Dasypodidae
Description: Small nucleolar RNA SNORA31 (ENSDNOG00000042893.1)
Rfam family: Small nucleolar RNA SNORA31
About the family: ACA31 (SNORA31) belongs to the H/ACA class of snoRNAs which are thought to guide the sites of modification of uridines to pseudouridines. ACA31 is predicted to guide the pseudouridylation of U3713 in 28S rRNA and U218 in 18S rRNA.
Source: RNAcentral